UGGGGAAUAUUGCACAAUGGGCGCAAGCCUGAUGCAGCAAUGCCGCGUGUGUGAAGAAGGCCUGCGGGUUGUAAAGCACUUUUAUUAGGAAAGAAAAACCCGGAGCUAAUACCUCCGGCAUUGACGGUACCUAAAGAAUAAGCACCGGCUAACUCAGUG
This 159-nucleotide ribosomal RNA is filed under the name uncultured marine bacterium. RNAcentral's name for it is "partial 16S ribosomal RNA". It matches the Rfam family "Bacterial small subunit ribosomal RNA", at positions 355 to 507 of the family's 1533-position model. The record is from RNAcentral.